UUACUACCUUCAGAUUCCAAGUGCUGACUUCAACUGCCAAUAUCUCCUUCAUUUAAGCUUGGAAUUUGACAAACAGUAGGCAUAAAUUGUAGCCGAAAAAGUGCUCUCUUUAACUUUAGUCGCUGAUCCUCAUUUGCUAUCUGUAUGCGUGCGCAGUGCCCCAAAGAGUGACAAUAGGUCCAAAAACUAACACCUUAACUUUGAGCGCCUAUAACUUCUUCAUAAAAACCCCAAAUGACACAAAUUUUGCACCAAAACCAUACCCA
This 266-nucleotide long non-coding RNA is filed under the name Physcomitrium patens. RNAcentral describes it as "long non-coding RNA (PPAT_LNC005760)". Lineage: Eukaryota; Viridiplantae; Streptophyta; Bryopsida; Funariales; Funariaceae. The record is from RNAcentral.